ACAAUGCCAACUGAGGCAGAAAAUGUUUGCUGCCAAGAAAUACAACAGGUAAGGAGACGACUAAUUCAAGCACCAACCUCUUUACAGUGUAUGACAGAACAUCCAGGACUGGAGGCCAACUGCCUGAAUGUUUAUACACUUCAAAACAUAAACAAUAUUUACAGAGCAGACUAUGGACCACUUAGGAGGAGAACAGAGGAGGAGCGUUUUAGGUAUCUUGCCUAUCGCAGUUUUGUUAGCUGGUGCUGGGGAUAUCUUGGCAGACAUGUGCGCGUGGUCAUUCCUGCAUGUGUUGUCCUGCGGAUUCGUCAGGAGUUUCCUGAUGCUGGAGGGAA
This is a non-coding RNA of Misgurnus anguillicaudatus (oriental weatherfish), 335 nucleotides long. Lineage: Eukaryota; Metazoa; Chordata; Actinopteri; Cypriniformes; Cobitidae. The record is from RefSeq and is a predicted model, not a curated record.